This 25-nucleotide non-coding RNA is filed under the name Mus musculus (house mouse). Lineage: Eukaryota; Metazoa; Chordata; Mammalia; Rodentia; Muridae. The record is from RNAcentral.
UACAUAUGACGUAUGCAGGUUUACA